GUGGGCAAAGGGCAGGCUUCAGGAUGUGUGGAUUGGUGCUGUUUAGAUUGAAGAGGGAAGGCAAAACAGGCAGAGAGGUGUAUUAGAAUUCUAUUAAACUAGGAUGGUUGGAAUAGACAUCAUCAGCGUGGUGACGUGUAUUGUAUGUUUUCGAAUGACUGUUCGAAAAAGGAAGAAGGAAAACUCAAUUACCUGCUGCCUGGUGUGAGAGACUAAUAUCCGUGAUGCUUUCUCUGGGAAAAGGCGUUCUGGCCCAACAAUCUGGUAAAGGACAGCGAAAUCAGCAUUGAAAUACAUUCUUGAUGUUGAAGAUAUAGCAAAAGUUUGAUCCCAAAGAUCAAAGUCAACUGAAAACGUACCCAGCACCACUUGAUCUACCAGAAGACAAGUUGCCAUAUGCGCCAUAACCACUUUCGCUACCAGCCUGAAACUCACUGAAACAAAUUAGGCUAUGAAAUUAAUAACAGCGACAUUGCAGAUAUGGUCCCUGAUAAACAAAGAUAACCUCACCAAUGGACUCGCAUAGCUGUCACUUGAAUGUAGAGAACCGUAUGAUCCUGAGGCUGAAGGGUAUCCACCACGCCCACGAGAUUGACCAUCUCGGCUUCCUAUCAAACCAUCUGACAUUUCUAAAGGCAUUGGGACAUAU
RNAcentral lists this long non-coding RNA (649 nucleotides) under Linum usitatissimum (flax). RNAcentral's name for it is "long non-coding RNA (LUSI_LNC001961)". Lineage: Eukaryota; Viridiplantae; Streptophyta; Magnoliopsida; Malpighiales; Linaceae. The record is from RNAcentral.